This 322-nucleotide ribosomal RNA is filed under the name uncultured bacterium. RNAcentral's name for it is "bacterial SSU rRNA". It matches the Rfam family "Bacterial small subunit ribosomal RNA", at positions 28 to 334 of the family's 1533-position model. The record is from RNAcentral.
GAUGAACGCUGGCGGCGUGCUUAACACAUGCAAGUCGAACGGGACUUGUUAAGUUGAAACUUCGGUCGAUUCUUUUCAAGUCUAGUGGCGGACGGGUGAGUAACGCGUGGGUAACCUGCCUCACACUGGGGGAUAACAGUCAGAAAUGACUGCUAAUACCGCAUAAGCGCACAGCAUCGCAUGAUGCAGUGUGAAAACUCCGGUGGUAUGAGAUGGAUCCGCGUCUGAUUAGCUAGUUGGUAAGGUAACGGCUUACCAAGGCAACGAUCAGUAGCCGACCUGAGAGGGUGACCGGCCACAUUGGGACUGAGAUACGGCCCAG